Molecule: small nuclear RNA, 106 nt
Filed under: Dasypus novemcinctus (nine-banded armadillo)
Lineage: Eukaryota; Metazoa; Chordata; Mammalia; Cingulata; Dasypodidae
Source: RNAcentral
GUUCUCGCUUCGGCAGCACAUAUACUAAAAUUGGAACCAUACAGAGAAAUGAGCUUGGCCCCUGCGCAAGGAUGACACAAAAAUUCAUGAAGUGUUCCACGUUUUU